CCCUUCCUUUUGAUCCCUGAGAUCCGGCAGCAGCUAAGCGGAAGGUAGUUGAACAGAGAACAAAAGGCUUCUGAGAGGCGAGGCUUCUGGUGAGUCACCAGCACGAUUUAACUGCCAGCCAACUCUUUUGAGAUAUCUCUGAGAGCCAGUAGAGGUAUCUGGAAGCUGAUGGGGAAGGUGAAAGAUCCACUUGCCCACCUGGAGAGACAAUCUCUCAAAAAUUCUCUGAUUUGGAAACUGGCUAUAAUACAGCUGAUAAACUAAAAACCCACAACACAGCUUUGAGAUGGUUUCUGUGACUGAUGGCACUGUGAUCCUGGAAUUUGUGA
Molecule: long non-coding RNA, 329 nt
Organism: Sphaerodactylus townsendi
Lineage: Eukaryota; Metazoa; Chordata; Lepidosauria; Squamata; Sphaerodactylidae
Exons: 4
Source: RefSeq, a predicted model, not a curated record